Molecule: ribosomal RNA, 1362 nt
Filed under: Triticum aestivum (bread wheat)
Lineage: Eukaryota; Viridiplantae; Streptophyta; Magnoliopsida; Poales; Poaceae
Description: partial small subunit ribosomal RNA
Source: RNAcentral
AUGCAGUUACAGCUCAAGGAUGAAAGGAUAAGAAAGAAGAAGUGUGAUUUCCAGAGGAGAAAGGAGUUGGAACGGCGUCAAAAGGUUGCUUGUGUGCAACGAAGUGAUGGGGAUGUUGCUCAAGCUCCUAAAGGUGUAGGUGAUGAAGGUGGUGAUGCGGCCUUUUCAACUGUUGAUGCUGGCCCUCAUGGAAGCGACAUGCCUGUGAAGACAAACCCGAUGCAAACUCGUUUGACGCAAGUGUUUACUCGUGAUGCAGUUAAGGAGAAGAAAGUUGUUUUGAAGAGGAAGAUGUUAGAUCGGAAUCCUGAUGGCACACAGAGGCGCAACCCACGUGUGAAAGCUGGUUCCCAACCUGGUAAUAGCAAAGCUGAUGGGGAUAGUGUUGCUGUGAAGAUUGGUCCAAGCACAGUUGGUGGCUCCCCUGUUCGUCGGAGUCCACGAGUUUUGACAAAUAAGAAGCCUUCUUCGUCUCCUCUUCCAGAGCGCUCUUUGUUGAAAGAAAAUAAGAAGCGUAAAGUUGCUCCUGCGAAGGUGAACAAAGGUGUGAAGAAGCGUGCUCGUGUCGAAGCUGAAGAUGUUGUAUCUGAAGAAGAUGAUAUCGAAGUUGAUUCUGAAGAUGAAUUUGCAGUGCCUGUUAGCGUUAUGAGUCCGGUCAAGCCGGUGGGAGGCAAUGCCGGAAAAGUUGCUUUGGAUGAAGGUGACCAAUGGCGAUUGAACUUAAUUGUGCGAUGUUCGUUGGGAGAGGUUGAAGCUUGUGCUAAAUUGCUUGAGAGUCGCGUGAAGUCUAACAUUUCUCGCCCUCUGAUGGGAGCUUUGUACCUGAGGAUAGAUCCUGAUACGAUGAAUCUUGACAUGGGUGAGGCUAAUAAGAAGCUUUGCAUCACUAGCGAUGGUAUACAACAAUUAUUUGGGUUCCCUCGUGGUGGUCGUUCUGCACCAAGGCCGUCAGAGGACGGAUAUGACAACGCUCUGAUGAAGUUAAGAUCGGAGCUUGACAUUAGUAGGAACAAAGAUAUCAAUACAAAGGAUUGGAGGGACAGGCUCAAGGUGCUUGUCAAGGAUCGUAGCAAAGAUGACCUUGCUCUGAAAGUGUUCUUCAUUAUUGUGUUUAUGAAGGUUGUGUUGCCUGGUGCCGCCCCGCGUGUUUCCAGAGAGGCAGCAAUGUUUGAGGGUCUCGUCAUUGAGGACAUGGCUAAUAUGGAUUAUUGCCAGCUGAUGGUUGAUGAGCUUAGAAGGGCUGUUGUCAGGUACCAAGAUGGUGUUACCAUGGGGAAGGCAAUCACAGGCUGUGCUAUAGGGCCUGUACUAAUGUACCUUGACUGCCUUAUCCGUGGCAAGACUGCGGAGCCUGACAUGUGA